RNAcentral lists this ribosomal RNA (498 nucleotides) under uncultured Geothermobacter sp. RNAcentral's name for it is "bacterial SSU rRNA". It matches the Rfam family "Bacterial small subunit ribosomal RNA", at positions 886 to 1382 of the family's 1533-position model. Lineage: Bacteria; Pseudomonadati; Thermodesulfobacteriota; Desulfuromonadia; Desulfuromonadales; Geothermobacteraceae. The record is from RNAcentral.
AGCCCGCUCAGAAACUCAAAUGAAUUGACGGGGCCCGGCACAAGCGGUGGAGCAUGUGGUUUAAUUCGACGCAACGCGAAGAACCUUACCUGGGCUUGACAUCCCGAUCGCACCUUAUGGAAACAUAGGGGUCAGUUCGGCUGGAUCGGUGACAGGUGCUGCAUGGCUGUCGUCAGCUCGUGUCGUGAGAUGUUGGGUUAAGUCCCGCAACGAGCGCAACCCUUGUCCUUAGUUGCCAGCAUUCAGUUGGGCACUCUAAGGAGACUGCCGGUGUUAAACCGGAGGAAGGUGGGGAUGACGUCAAGUCCUCAUGGCCCUUAUGUCCAGGGCUACACACGUGCUACAAUGGCCGGUACAAAGGGGCGCAAGACCGCGAGGUGGAGCAAAUCCCAAAAAACCGGUCUCAGUUCGGAUUGGAGUCUGCAACUCGACUCCAUGAAGUUGGAAUCGCUAGUAAUCGCGUAUCAGCAUGACGCGGUGAAUACGUUCCCGGGCCUU